AUUGGAAUGAUGGGAAUUUAAACCUCUUCCAGAGUAUCAAUUGGAGGGCAAGUCUGGUGCCAGCAGCCGCGGUAAUUCCAGCUCCAAUAGCGUAUAUUAAAAUUGUUGCAGUUAAAAAGCUCGUAGUUGAAUUUCUGCUGCAUUACAUAUCUCUUGUUUGAGUUUGUUUUUGUGGCUUAUUUCGGUUUGAUUUUUUCUUUCCGGAUGAUUACUUUGAGAAAAUUAGAGUGCUCAAAGCAGGCUUUUGCCUUGAAUAGUUUAGCAUGGAAUAAUAAAGUAGGACUUUGGUUCUAUUUUGUUGGUUUUAGGUACCAAAGUAAUGGUUAAUAGGAACAGUUGGGGGCAUUCGUAUUUAACUGUCAGAGGUGAAAUUCUUAGA
RNAcentral lists this ribosomal RNA (379 nucleotides) under Theileria buffeli. RNAcentral's name for it is "SSU rRNA". It matches the Rfam family "Eukaryotic small subunit ribosomal RNA", at positions 508 to 924 of the family's 1831-position model. The record is from RNAcentral. Lineage: Eukaryota; Apicomplexa; Aconoidasida; Piroplasmida; Theileriidae.